ACUUACGGCCAUACCACACUGACAACGCCCGAUCUCGUCUGAUCUCGGAAGCUAAGCAGAGUUGGGCUGGGUCAGUACUUGGAUGGGUGACCGCCUGGGAAUACCCGGUGCUGUAAGCA
Molecule: ribosomal RNA, 119 nt
Filed under: Cottoperca gobio
Lineage: Eukaryota; Metazoa; Chordata; Actinopteri; Perciformes; Bovichtidae
Source: RNAcentral